This 433-nucleotide ribosomal RNA is filed under the name Karenia brevis. Its description in RNAcentral is "partial Bacterial small subunit ribosomal RNA". It matches the Rfam family "Bacterial small subunit ribosomal RNA", at positions 1 to 436 of the family's 1533-position model. The record is from RNAcentral. Lineage: Eukaryota; Dinophyceae; Gymnodiniales; Kareniaceae.
GAAGAGUUUGAUCAUGGCUCAGAUUGAACGCUGGCGGCAGGCCUAACACAUGCAAGUCGAACGGUAACAGAAAGAGCUUGCUCUUUGCUGACGAGUGGCGCACGGGUGCGUAACGCGUAUGCAACUUACCCUUAACAGGGGGAUAGCCUUCCGAAAGGAAGAAUAAUACCCCAUAGUAUUUCAAAGAGGCAUCUCUUUGUUCUUAAAACUCCGGUGGUUAAGGAUAGGCAUGCGUCCUAUUAGCUAGUUGGUAAGGUAAUGGCUUACCAAGGCUACGAUAGGUAGGGGGCCUGAGAGGGUUGUCCCCCACACUGGUACUGAGACACGGACCAGACUCCUACGGGAGGCAGCAGUGAGGAAUAUUGGUCAAUGGACGAAAGUCUGAACCAGCCAUGCCGCGUGCAGGAUGAAUGCCCUGGUUGUAAACUGCUUU